GGAUGAGCCCGCGGCCUAUCAGCUUGUUGGUGGGGUGAUGGCCUACCAAGGCGACGACGGGUAGCCGGCCUGAGAGGGUGACCGGCCACACUGGGACUGAGACACGACCCAGACUCCUACGGGAGGCAGUAGUGGGGAAUAUUGCACAAUGGGCGGAAGCCUGAUGCAGCGACGCCGCGUGAGGGAUGACGGCCUUCGGGUUGUAAACCUCUUUCAGCAGGGAAGAAGCGCAAGUGACGGUACCUGCAGAAGAAGCACCGGCUGACUACGUGACAGCAGCCGCGGCCG
Molecule: ribosomal RNA, 288 nt
Filed under: uncultured Streptomyces sp.
Lineage: Bacteria; Bacillati; Actinomycetota; Actinomycetes; Kitasatosporales; Streptomycetaceae
Description: partial 16S ribosomal RNA
Rfam family: Bacterial small subunit ribosomal RNA
Source: RNAcentral